GCGUCGGUGGCGGAGCGGUCAAUCGCACGGGACUGUAAAUCCCGCGACUUAAUGUCUACGCAGGUUCGAAUCCUGCCCGGCGCA
This 84-nucleotide transfer RNA is filed under the name Minisyncoccota bacterium. Its description in RNAcentral is "tRNA-Tyr". It matches the Rfam family "tRNA". From Rfam's summary of the family: Transfer RNA (tRNA) molecules are approximately 80 nucleotides in length. Their secondary structure includes four short double-helical elements and three loops (D, anti-codon, and T loops). Further hydrogen bonds mediate the characteristic L-shaped molecular structure. tRNAs have two regions of fundamental functional importance: the anti-codon, which is responsible for specific mRNA codon recognition, and the 3' end, to which the tRNAs corresponding amino acid is attached (by aminoacyl-tRNA synthetases). tRNAs cope with the degeneracy of the genetic code in two manners: having more than one tRNA (with a specific anti-codon) for a particular amino acid; and 'wobble' base-pairing, i.e. permitting non-standard base-pairing at the 3rd anti-codon position. Lineage: Bacteria; Bacillati; Minisyncoccota. The record is from RNAcentral.